RNAcentral lists this ribosomal RNA (484 nucleotides) under uncultured bacterium. RNAcentral's name for it is "partial 16S ribosomal RNA". It matches the Rfam family "Bacterial small subunit ribosomal RNA", at positions 30 to 507 of the family's 1533-position model. The record is from RNAcentral.
AUUGAACGCUGGCGGCAGGCCUAACACAUGCAAGUCGAGCGGAUGAAGGGAGCUUGCUCCUGGAUUCAGCGGCGGACGGGUGAGUAAUGCCUAGGAAUCUGCCUGGUAGUGGGGGAUAACGUCCGGAAACGGGCGCUAAUACCGCAUACGUCCUGAGGGAGAAAGUGGGGGAUCUUCGGACCUCACGCUAUCAUAUGAGCCUAGGUCGGAUUAGCUAGUUGGUUGGGUAAAGGCCUACCAAGGCGACGAUCCGUAACUGGUCUGAGAGGAUGAUCAGUCACACUGGAACUGAGACACGGUCCAGACGCCUACGGGAGGCAGCAGUGGGGAAUAUUGGACAAUGGGCGAAAGCAUGAUCCAGCAAUGCCGCGUGUGUGAAGAAGGUCUUCGGAUUGUAAAGCACUUUAAGUUGGGAGGAAGGGAAGUAAGUUAAUACCUUGCUGUUUUGACGUUAACAACAGAAUAAGCACCGGCUAACUUCGUG